AUACGGAGGGUGCAAGCGUUGUUCGGAAUCACUGGGCGUAAAGGGCGCGCAGGCGGUUUGGUAAGUCAGAUGUGAAAGCCCACGGCUCAACCGUGGAAGUGCAUUUGAAACUGUCAGACUUGAGUACUAGAGGGGAAAGUGGAAUUCCCGGUGUAGAGGUGAAAUUCGUAGAUAUCGGGAGGAAUACCGGUGGCGAAGGCGACUUUCUGGCUAGAUACUGACGCUGAGGCGCGAAAGCGUGGGGAGCAAACAGAAUUAGAUACCCUUGUAGUCC
This 274-nucleotide ribosomal RNA is filed under the name uncultured bacterium. Its description in RNAcentral is "partial 16S ribosomal RNA". It matches the Rfam family "Bacterial small subunit ribosomal RNA", at positions 523 to 796 of the family's 1533-position model. The record is from RNAcentral.